UAGGGAAUAUUGGACAAUGGGCGAAAGCCUGAUCCAGCAACGCCGCGUGUGCGAUGACGGCCUUCGGGUUGUAAAGCACUUUUAGAGGAGAUGAGAAAGGACAGUAUCCUCUGAAUAAGCCUCGGCGAACUACGUGCCAGCAGCCGCGGUAAAACGUAGGAGGCUAGCGUUAUCCGGAUUUAUUGGGCGUAAAGCGCGUGCAGGCGGUUUAUCAAGUUGGAUGUGAAAGCUCCUGGCUUAACUGGGAGAGGUCGUUCAAAACUGAUAGACUAGAGAAUGGUAGAGGGAGGUGGAAUUCCGGGUGUAGUGGUGAAAUGCGUAGAUAUCCGGAGGAACACCAGUGGCGAGAGCGGCCUCCUGGGCCAUUUCUGACGCUAAGACGCGAAAGCUAGGGUAGCAAACGG
Molecule: ribosomal RNA, 404 nt
Filed under: uncultured bacterium
Lineage: Bacteria
Description: bacterial SSU rRNA
Rfam family: Bacterial small subunit ribosomal RNA
Source: RNAcentral